CCCGCCGAUGGGAACGGAUGAGGUAUUUAGGUACGUAAAGUUCUUUUAUUAAAGAAGAAAAAAUGAUGGAAAAAUCAUUCUGACGGUAUUUAAUGAAUAAGCCCCGGCUAACUAUGUGCCAGCAGCUGCGGUAAUACAUGGGGGGCAAGCGUUAUCCGGAUUUAUUGGGCGUAAAGGGUGCGUAGGCGGUUAAAUAAGUCUAUGGUAUAAGUUCAACGCUUAACGUUGUGAUGCUAUAGAAACUGUUUGACUAGAGUUGGAUAGAGGCAAGUGGAAUUCCAUGUGUAGCGGUAAAAUGCGUAAAUAUAUGGAGGAACACCAGUAGCGAAGGCGGCUUGCUGGGUCUUAACUGACGCUGAGGCACGAAAGCGUGGGGAGCAAACAGGAUUAGAUACCCUGGUAGUCCACGCCGUAAACGAUGAGUACUAAGUGUUGGGUUAAACCAGUGCUGAAGUUAACACAUUAAGUACUCCGCCUGAGUAGUACGUACGCAAGUAUGAAACUUAAAGGAAUUGACGGGACUCCGCACAAGCGGUGGAUCAUGUUGUUUAAUUCGAAGAUACACGAAAAACCUUACCAGGUCUUGACAUACUCUGCAAAGCUAUAGAAAUAUAGUGGAGGUUAUCAGGGAUACAGGUGGUGCAUGGUUGUCGUCAGCUCGUGUCGUGAGAUGUUGGGUUAAGUCCCGCAACGAGCGCAACCCUUAUCACUAGUUACCAUCAUUUAGUUGGGCACUUUAGUGAGACUGCCAAUGAUAAAUUGGAGGAAGGUGGGGAUUACGUCAAAUCAUCAUGCCCCUUAUGACCUGGGCUACAAACGUGAUACAAUGGCUGUUACUGAAUAUAUUCUCUGAAAA
This 856-nucleotide ribosomal RNA is filed under the name Candidatus Phytoplasma prunorum. Its description in RNAcentral is "bacterial SSU rRNA". It matches the Rfam family "Bacterial small subunit ribosomal RNA", at positions 392 to 1261 of the family's 1533-position model. Lineage: Bacteria; Bacillati; Mycoplasmatota; Mollicutes; Acholeplasmatales; Acholeplasmataceae. The record is from RNAcentral.